UAGGUGGACCCUGCGGAAGGAUCAUUA
RNAcentral lists this ribosomal RNA (27 nucleotides) under Wickerhamiella azymoides. Its description in RNAcentral is "partial small subunit ribosomal RNA". The record is from RNAcentral. Lineage: Eukaryota; Fungi; Ascomycota; Dipodascomycetes; Dipodascales; Trichomonascaceae.